This is an RNA transcript of Dermochelys coriacea (leatherback sea turtle), 8608 nucleotides long. It is a transcript of the gene named forkhead box O3, with no coding region annotated. The record is from RefSeq and is a predicted model, not a curated record. Lineage: Eukaryota; Metazoa; Chordata; Testudines; Dermochelyidae. The transcript is spliced from 5 exons.
CGUGCGUCUAUAACUUUGUGUUGCUUGCUGCUGCUGGUGGUUAGGAGAAGGAAUGUGGAAGUCAGUAGAGUGCAGGGUGACAGGCUGGUCGGGCGAGCUGCACCAGCAGCAUUAUUGCUCCCUGGCAGAUCAUUUGCUUUUCCCCUUCUGUUUACAGAGGUAUCGUGCGGUUGUUUGCUUUCUCCUCCUUUGCCUUUAAAGGGAAGGCGACGAGAAGCUGAAGACGCAGCAGCAGGAGAAUCAGGAAACCAUGCACCAGCACUGCUUUUUCCUCCUGUGAAUCUGGAUCUUUAUUUUUGCUGGAGAGGGUAGAGGUUGCUGCUGGUUCUUCCCCUUCCCUCCUUCCCCUGCCGAUGUGUCUUCCUCUGUCUCUUUUGCCAGUGUUUUUUAAAUGACUUGAGCGGAGGGGGGGGGGAACUGUCAAGAUGGCAGCAGCAGGAGCAAGGAGGUUAUGAAUGUGGUGUUGAUGCUGGAACAAAACCCAUCCUCUUGGCAGCCCUACGGAGGGCUUAAAGCUUCUGGACCUGUUGGAAGACUGGUGAUUUGAUUUGUUUUUGUUUUGCUUUCCUCGCAAGAAGGGUAAAAAAUCCAGAGUGGCUUUUUCUUCCCCUGUUCGAUUGGUUGUGAAAUUUAGUUUUGUAUAUAUAGAUCUAUAUAUUUUUUGGAAAGUGGAAUGCAUAACUACGGCAAAUGCUAGUGUGCAACUGGAGGUACAUUAAGACUUCAGCUCCCUCUGGGGCGUUUUGAAGGAGGAAAAAGUCAUCAAUGUAAUUUGAAGGACCCCUCUCUCUUUCCCCCGGACAGAGAGAGAAAAAGGAAAACGUCUGCCAGAGCAGCCGGGAGCAGGCUUGGUGGUGUUGGAGGGGUCUCUCUCCGAUGGAUACAGCGUGAUUGCCAGUGGAGCGCUUCUGCAGCUGCAUGGAGUGAAACAUAAACAAACACACACCACUGAACUGCACCAACUCCACUGCGUUUGGGCUGCUGCUGGCGCCAUCCCCCCACCCAUCGGGAUCCAGGGGCGCAUCUGGAACCUCUGGCCUCGCCUGAUCCCUUAUUGAUCGCCUUGUGAUUAGUAGUAGUUGAGUGUGUGUGUGUGCGCGCGUGUGUGUGUGUGUGUGCACUGUCUGCUGGGAGAGGGGGCGGGGAAGGCAGGAGGCUGCAGGACUUUAAUGGAGAGUGGCAUGUUCACUCGCUCCCCCCUGCCUGGUAGGCACUGAUCCGCAGCGGCAGGAGGAGGACUGGGGUCCGGACCCGUCUGUCCCAUCGCAGCACCAGGAGCAGCAGCAGCGGGAGGAGGGGAAGCCAAGAUGGCAGAGGCGUCUCCCGCUGCCCCCCUCUCCCCUCAGGACGUGGAGCUGGACCCCGAGUUCGAGCCCCAGAGCCGGCCCCGCUCCUGCACUUGGCCCCUACAGAGGCCUGAGUUGCAGGCGAGCCCGGCCAAGCCCUCGGGGGAAGCGGCCGCGGACGCCGCCUCCAUGAUCCCCGAGGAGGAGGACGAGGAGGAAGGGGGCAGCUCGCCCAUGGCCAUCGGCAGUGGCGGCGGAGGCGACGCGCUGGCCCCGGAGGAGGCGGCCCGGCUGCUGGCCCCGCUGCCCGGCGUCGGGACGGAGGGCUCGGGCCAGGCCCCCGGGGCAGCGGCCGGCGGGGGCGGCGGGCUGGGCGGGGGGCAGCCGGCGGCGGCGCCGCGGAAAUGCUCGUCCCGGCGGAACGCGUGGGGCAACCUGUCCUACGCCGACCUGAUCACCCGCGCCAUCGAGAGCGCCCCGGACAAGCGGCUCACCCUGUCCCAGAUCUACGACUGGAUGGUGCGCUGCGUGCCCUACUUCAAGGAUAAGGGCGAUAGCAACAGCUCGGCCGGCUGGAAGAACUCAAUCCGGCAUAAUUUGUCACUUCACAGUCGAUUCAUCAGGGUACAGAAUGAAGGAACUGGGAAAAGCUCUUGGUGGAUGAUUAAUCCAGAUGGUGGAAAAGGUGGGAAGCCCCCCCGGAGACGCGCUGUUUCAAUGGACAAUAGCAACAAGUACACAAAGAGCAGAGGCCGAGCAGCUAAGAAAAAGGCAGCCCUGCAAGCUGCACAAGAAGCUAGCGAGGACAGCCCGUCUCAGCUUUCCAAGUGGCCAGGGAGCCCAACUUCCCGCAGCAGUGAUGAGCUGGACGCUUGGACAGAUUUCCGCUCUCGUACAAAUUCAAAUGCCAGUACAAUAAGUGGCCGUUUGUCACCGAUAUUGGCAAGUACCGAACUCGAUGACGUUCAGGAUGAUGAUGCUCCACUUUCUCCAAUGCUGUACAAUAGUCCAUCAAGCAUGUCCCCAUCGGUAAAUAAACCAUGUACUGUUGAGUUGCCGAGGUUGACUGAUAUGGCAGGCACAAUGAACUUGAAUGAUGGACUGACAGAUAACCUCAUCAUGGAUGAUCUUUUGGACAAUAUAACGCUCCCCUCUCCCCAACAGUCACCAUCAGGGGGGCUCAUGCAAAGAAGCUCCAGUUUUCCAUAUGGUUCCAAAGGUUCCGGACUUGGCUCUCCAUCAAGUAAUUUCAACAGUGCUGUGUUUGGACCAUCAUCUCUGAAUUCCCUUCGUCAGUCUCCCAUGCAAACCAUUCAAGAGAACAAGCAAGCUACCUUUUCUUCCAUUUCUCAUUAUAACAACCAGACGCUGCAGGAUCUGCUGGCAUCUGACUCACUUAGUCACAGUGAUGUCAUGAUGACGCAGUCUGAUCCACUCAUGUCUCAAGCCAGCACAGCUGUGUCUGCCCAGAAUUCACGCAGGAGUAUCAUGCUUCGUAGUGAUCCAAUGAUGUCAUUUGCUGCUCAGUCCAACCAGGGAAGUUUGGUCAAUCAGAACCUGCUCCACCACCAGCAUCAAUCUCAGAAUUCUUCUCUUGGUGGCAGUCGUGCCUUGUCAAAUUCCAUAAGUAAUAUGGGCUUAAAUGAUACGAACAACUUGGGGUCGGCCAAACACCAGCAGCAGUCACCUGUCAAUCAGUCUAUGCAAACACUUUCUGACUCGCUCUCAGGCUCUUCUUUGUAUUCCACUAGUGUCAACCUUCCAGUCAUGGGACAUGAUAAAUUCCCAAGUGAUUUGGACCUGGAUAUUUUCAAUGGAAGCUUGGAAUGUGACAUGGAGUCCAUUAUCCGCAGUGAACUCAUGGAUGCAGAUGGGUUGGAUUUUAACUUCGAUUCCCUCAUCUCAGCUCAGAACGUUGUCAGUCUGAACGUGGGGAGCUUCACAGGUGCUAAGCAGGCUUCGUCACAGAGUUGGGUGCCAGGCUGAAGGAUCUUUCAGAAAAGGAGAAAUGGGCAAAGCAGCAUCGUGCCCUGCAACUGCAGAAUGCCGGUAGUGCUAAACAUGCAAGUUGAAAUCCUGACCCAAGUCAAUGGCAAAAGUCUCACUGAGUUCAGUGGUGCCAGGAUUUCACCCACGGUUGAUACCACUACUCUCCCCCUGUGUAGGUCUGUGGGGAAAGUCAGAGUUCUGCCCAUUGAACGGUUACACAACACUGUGGGAAAAAGUCCAGUGGCCCUUUUCGUUAUUGUGGACUUCUUUGUGCAGAGGGCCAAAAUCAGAGCUAUCAUUAGCAAAGCUGCUACAUCUGCUUACACUGGUUCUGAAUUUAGUGCAGGCCCUUAAACUGACAUGAGACCUAAAGAGAGAACCCUUUGCCAAAUCUGCUGUCAGCAAGUGGACAGUGAUACCGUUUACAGCUUAUGAUCUUUGUGAGCCCUGCAUUACUUUCCUAAUGAAGCAGAGACUGUUAAUGGCCCCUUACCCAAGCGAAGAGCCUCCUUUUUCGGAAUUGAACUCGUUCUAAAGUAUGCAAAAUCUUCCUUUUAUGGGAUGGUCAAGCACCAACUGUGGAGACAAUGUUCAGCACCAUCCUGUUGAGAACACACUGUGUAGCCUUUACAGUAGUUAUUUGUCAAUGAGUAUGUGGUGUUUCAAUAUAUUAAUGGUUUAUGGGUUAUUUUACGUUGGCUUCUAUUUUGGGGGGGGUUCCCAUCUCACCCCUCUAACCUUCAGUUUGUUUUGUUUUUUAAAGAUGUUUUAACCAUUUUCUCUUUCUCUCCUGGUGCAUCUGAAAUACAGUGUGUGCACAAUGAAAGGCUAUACUAAUUACCAUUACCCAACAUAGCUUCAGACAUCAGCACUGAGUAUGUAGCAUUCAUUACACCAAGCAACUGACUGAAGUCCAGAGAGAGGUGGCUUGUGGGUUUUGUUUGUUGUCUUUUUUUUCAAACCUUUUCUUCAAUUUAAUGGUACAUACCUUGUUUUUCAUAAACAGCAAACCACAGCUGAUUACAUAAUAAGAGAAACUAGCAAGGUUGCUAGUCCUGUCCAGUGUUUGUAAGGACUGAGAGAGGGUUCCAUUUCAUCGUAUUUACUGAUUCAGCACCUGAUUUGAUUUGAUCUGAUCAAUCUCACCUAUUGCAUUAUGUUAGCAGAGCUGCCCUGAUGAUUGCAGUGAAUAGAAUUAGUCUGCCUCAGCAGUUUGGAAACUGGUUGAUCUUAAAACAAGUAAUAAGAUAAGCUGUCCAUCCAUUACCAAACAAGUUGAAUGUAACCACUUGUGAGGAUAUGGUUUAAAAAGAAGAGGGAAGUAAAAUAUAUGACAUUGCAGAAAAGAUAACUUACAGUACAUGCAUCAACAGUGACUUACAGUAGAGUCAUCAGAAGUUCAAAUGCAGAUCACUGCAGGGUAAAUUACUACAUCAGUGAUUUUUUUACAUACAUAUCCUUGAUAAUUUUUUCCUUCUCACUAUGCGUAAUCCAAUCUGAAAGAAGCUGUAGAAGGAAAGGCAAGAAAGUAAUGCUAUACAAACAUCUUUUCAUAUAAGCUUAAAUUGUAAUUGGAUAAAUGACACUGAAAGACAAGGCAGUUUUAUAUGUUUUGCUUAUAUGGGUUUUCUUUUGUAAAAUGAAUAACAAUGAAUGAAUAAUAAUGAAUAAAAGGUAUGGUGCUGCUGUAUAGAUUCUCUCUAUAAUCUGGAAAGCUUGAUUACUUUUUAUUACUAUUUUUUUGUGGGGGGAGGAAACAAGAGGAGGAAACACCAAUGGUACAUAAGAACUUGGUAUGAAGACGCUCUGAAUAGGAGAGUGUAUACAUACUUCUCCAAAGUGAUAUAUGAAGACUUUUUUCUUUGCAUAAAAGCAUUAUGCAUAUAAAUAUAUAAAUAUAUUUUAUUAUGUACAGAAAUGGAUCAUUAUGCAUGGAUGUUACGAAAACAAACUAGCAUUUUAACCCAAAGUUUCAGUGCAUGAGUUCCCACUGACACAUGUACCAUGCAAUGUGGAGUGACUCCCUUUCUCUGCCACCACCACACAUGCACGCAUACACACACACAAACUCAUACACAUACAUUUGUGGGCCCCAUCUUGCUCCUUACUUUCCAGUUUCCUGAAGUAAUAUUGGUGAAAUAACAGCUCCUAGUGUGAUGGAAAUUUUGUUUUGUAUUGUAACCUCCUCAUGCUUGUGCUCUUCUAUUUUAUAGAUGAACCUGUUGAUUUCAUCCUGCCCUUUACUGAAUAUGUAAACUCUGUGCAGUUGUGAUUAUAGUAGACCCGUAGCAUAUCAAGCAGCUAAGAGUUUAUCAUUUUCAUUAAGUGAAACAACAUUUUUUUAAUUAAGGUGGUCUAUUUAUCAAUGGCAGGGACUAGUUUAUUAUUUUUUCUUUAUCAUCAGAAUUAGUUGAUGAUGCACAUUACUGAUCUCCCCAGUUGAGGCGAUAUUUCGGGUAACCAGCUACCCAGUAUGACAGUGGUGUACAGCAGUCAUCUGUUUUAGGGGUCAGUUCACUUACAGGAGUCCAGAUGCAGGCACCUUUUACCAAAGUUAGUAAAGAGCUUUACUGCAAGCCUUCACUGUACUCGGUGUGUAUAACAGUAUCUGUCAGGUUUUUGGUACAUCAUUAAAUGUGAAUUAAACUGAGGGUGUUUUUCUUUCUUUGUCUUCUGUGGUAUUGUGCUUGCUAAUUGAAACUUUUUAAUCUUAAAGUCUCACUCUCUGAUUAAUAGGAGGGCUGUGCACAAGUACUCUGGUACAAAACAGGCUUUGUGUUUAUUUCUGGUGUGACAUUUUGUUGAACUAUCUAUUGUCCACUGGAGGAUGGAAUACAUCGUAGCACUGUCAUAGAGCAAGCAGCAGAUUCUCCCUUUCACGCGGUCUAAUUUAAGGCAGGUUACAAAUACAUAGGUAGUACAGGAUUCUGGUACUGUAUCUACCUACCAUAUAUAUCUACUGACUGCACCUUUUUUAUUUGGAUUUCUUGGAGAAAUAUUGGACCAACCUGUCUGCUCAUGUAACUUAAAUGGCAUAGUGCCAACAGAAAUUUGGCCCACUUUAUAGAGUAGAAUAACAAAACAUAUUGGGCCAAAUUCUGCUCUCAGUUACGAUGAUGUAAAUCUGGAAUAACUGAUGGUAGUGAGUUACUCCAGAUUUACAGUACUGUCUCUCCCUGAUGCACAACCCGAGCACCCAGUCUCUGCUCUAGGGAUCUUCUUGGGAGCAGGAACAAGGAAUCCUCCUCUCCAGGCCACUCCAUAGCUGGUACUCCAGCAUCAGAGCAGGAAUAGCCUUAGCACUGCCUUGCCUGUGUGCCCCUCCGCAGCGGGAAAUGGCCAUCAGAUCCAUGUAGCAGCAGAUCCACCAACUGUGCCCCAUUCCCAAAUCCCUUCUGGGCAGUACAUACUGAGGUGAGCUCCAUGUCUUCAGAUAUUCAACUCCUGCAGGCUCACACUGCAGCAGAACUGCCCCUUUUCUUCCACUACAGGCAGAACCUGCUUGUACCCAUUUUGGAGGACAGGAUUUAUGCCAGUGACCAGGAUUUGCCCCAUCGUUCACAGUUGCACACAAGGAGAUAUGGCCCAAUGCUGCAGUCUUUAAUCAGAUGAAAUCUCCCAUUAAAUGGGCUUGCCUGCAUAAGGACUGCCGAUCGUGUUGUUAGAGUCCUUUGUUAACACCGACAAAGUUCUGUUUUGACGUCAUGACUACGGCGACAAAGACGAGUAAUUUUAUUUUUUCUUGGUACGGAACUAAUAUGUCUAAUGGAAGGGAAAGACUGCUUGUUUGAACAAACUGGGCUAAACUUUGUUACUGCAGUGUUAAUGCAGCGUGACUCCCAUGAGAUCAGUGGAGUUACGUCAGAUUUGCAAAAUAUGGUCCACUUUUUUUUAGAAAAUGAAGAAAUACCAGUUGGUUCAGAGACAUCCAAUCAAUGUCAGAGAAGUUAUAGAACCUUUCAAACAAAAUCAAAAUCAAAGCACAAGCAAAUAAGGGGCCCAAUCCUGCUCCCACUGAAGUUAAUGAGAAAACUCUCAUUGGCUUCCACAGUGCAGUUUUGGCCUCCUAGUGUUAGGGGAAAAAGCCUGCACUACCUGGGGAGGGAUGGACUAGAAAAACGAAGAGGUUUUUUCUCUCUCUAAUUUUGGCGGCCAACAUUUUCAAACGUAAAUAUGUGAAGUUAAGCACCUUCGGCUGGAAUUUUCAGAGGCAUAAGGGAGUUAGGUGCUCUGCUUUCAUUGUUUUUCAGUGGGAGUAGGGUGCCUCAUUCCUUGAGAUCCCUUGGAAAAUCCCAGGCCUAAAUGUAUAUUUAGGCACAUAAAAAGGGCCCCAAUUUUCAGAGGUGCAGAAUAGUCACAUCUUUUAGAGAAUCCAACGACAGCCACGGGGACUGAGCACCUUUGCAAAUCAGAUCACUUAUUUAGGUGCCAAAGUAUGGAUUCAGGAACCCCAUUUUUGAAACUUUGGCCUUUGUUCCAGGAAUAUUUUCGAGCAUUAACACCCCUCCUCCCCCCAAAAAAAUCGUGCCCAACAGAUAAAGUCUCAGAACACAUGCACAGGUUAUUGUUUAAAUUUUGAGUUUUAAAACAUUCUAAAAAGGGUAGUGCUUAUGCAGUUUAGACAAGUCUGCUUUUAUUUAAUUUUCUUUGUGAAAUAUCUUCUCAUAUGAAUAGCUAGUUAAUAGGCCACUACCUAACUCCAGAAAAAUUUGUACUACUGCUUUACAAAGCUAAAUGUUAGGACAUAUAUUGCUCUAAAAUUAUGUCAUUGAUUGGCAAUCAGUUUCCUAUCAUUGUUUUAGUACAUUAUGUACACUGGAAAUGCCAACACAUGUGCAGGAGGACCAGAUGCAUUUUGUUAAUAUGGGGAGGGGGAAUGAUUGUACGUUUUGGCUUCACAUGUUAAACUUUUUUUAAAAAAAAAAGUUGCAUGAUUGGAAAAUAACAUGUAUACAGUAUCUGUACAACUGUUUUAUCUGUUUUUGUUUCACCAUGUCAAGCCAUAUAAAUUGGAAAAAUAUUAAAUCCGCAGCCUUUAUGCAUGGCUGUCUUUACAUAUUGAAGAAUUAAUUUGGGCUUUCUUGCACUUUCAUGUUGCAUUCUUACUGAGGAUUUUGUAAAUUAGUUGCUGCCCUGGAUGAGUAUACUACCUUACUACAUAAAGAUUGGAAACACGUUUGAUUUUAAAAUCUUCCCCUUUCCAAAUGAAGUAGAGAUGCAGUGCUUACUCCACUUGGUGUUAGUAGAUAUUGCCUUGUGUAUUCCAUUUUCAAUUGUAAUCUAGUUUGUAAAAGAGAUGGUGCCGCAUGUAAAUAAAGCAUAAUGGAUCUCUA